AUUGAACGCUGGCGGCAGGCCUAACACAUGCAAGUCGAGCGGAUGAAGGGAGCUUGCUCCUGGAUUCAGCGGCGGACGGGUGAGUAAUGCCUAGGAAUCUGCCUGGUAGUGGGGGAUAACGUCCGGAAACGGACGCUAAUACCGCAUACGUCCUGAGGGGGAAAGUGGGGGAUCUUCGGACCUCACGCUAUCAGAUGAGCCUAGGUCGGAUUAGCUAGUUGGUGGGGUAAAGGCCUACCAAGGCGACGAUCCGUAACUGGUCUGAGAGGAUGAUCAGUCACACUGGAACUGAGACACGGUCCAGACUCCUACGGGAGGCAGCAGUGGGGAAUAUUGGACAAUGGGCGAAAGCCUGAUCCAGCCAUGCCGCGUGUGUGAAGAAGGUCUUCGGAUUGUAAAGCACUUUAAGUUGGGAGGAAGGGCAGUAAGUUAAUACCUUGCUGUUUUGACGUUACCAACAGAAUAAGCACCGGCUAACUUCGUG
Molecule: ribosomal RNA, 484 nt
Filed under: uncultured bacterium
Lineage: Bacteria
Description: partial 16S ribosomal RNA
Rfam family: Bacterial small subunit ribosomal RNA
Source: RNAcentral